Non-coding RNA from Paramormyrops kingsleyae, 463 nucleotides. NCBI's taxonomy places the organism in Eukaryota, Metazoa, Chordata, Actinopteri, Osteoglossiformes, Mormyridae. The record is from RefSeq and is a predicted model, not a curated record.
UGUCAACUACAAUGGACAUAAAUGAUUGGGUGGGGUCUCAGGAGGAUAUACCUGUGUGUGGUGUAUGUAUAUAUAUCUUGACACGUUUCCUUUUCCAGCCUGAACAGCUGUAGACUCACAGAGACAUGCUGUGAAGUGUUGGCUUCAACUCUCAAAUCAAACUUCUCUCAGCUGACAGAGCUGGACCUGAGUGACAAUGACCUGCAGGAUUCAGGGGUGAAGCUGCUUUCUGCUGGACUGGGGGAUUCACACUGUAAACUGGAGAUACUGAGGCUGUCAGGCUGUAGAGUCACAGAAGAAGGCUGUUCAUUCCUGGGUUCAGCUCUGAGAUUAAACCCCUCACACCUGCGAGAGCUGGACCUGAGUAACAAUGACCUGCAGGAUUCAGGGGUGAAGCUGCUCUCUGCUGGACUGGGGGAUUCACACUGUAAACUGGAGAUACUGAGGCUGUUGGGCUGUAGAG